RNAcentral lists this transfer RNA (73 nucleotides) under Biomphalaria glabrata. It matches the Rfam family "tRNA". Rfam says of the family: Transfer RNA (tRNA) molecules are approximately 80 nucleotides in length. The record is from Rfam by way of RNAcentral. Lineage: Eukaryota; Metazoa; Mollusca; Gastropoda; Planorbidae.
GGCGCCUUGGCUGAGUGAUAAAGCGUUUGGCUUCGGAACCGAGGGGUCCCGGGUUCGAAUCCUGGGUCCACCA